AGGUGAGGUGCCGAGCCGCGAGACCCUGCAGAGCGCUUCCUUUGUUCCGGAGCGAGUAGGACGCGCUACCUCCUGGAGGAAAGAAGCGACUGCGUUUCGCAGUGCUGACUUUUUUUUACAGUGUGAGCUAACGUGUAUGCUCUGAAAAACACCCCGUUUUCCAGUAUGUGAAUGAGUAUAUUUGUACGGGGCCAGUACGGCAGACAUAGCGGGUCGUUGGACCGAGCCCACCGAGAGUGGAUCUGUGGGAAGCCACUGUGGCACCUUGCUGAGUCUGUUCACCCGUGCAGCUAGCUGGUGGCAGCCCUGGCAGAUCCCGGCACACAGUCAGGCUCCACGCCUUACCCGAGCCAGUUGUGCCUCUAGAUUACGCCUCGCUUAAAGUCCAGCGACCAAGAUAGAAAAACAGCCCCACGAUGCAACCAUUUUGGAAAACCGCUGCAGUUUCUGCCAAAGCUAAAUGUACGCUUACCUUGUGACCCCAGAAAUUUCACUUCAAGAGGAAUGAGUGCAUACGUCCACCAAAGGCAUGUGCAAGAAUGUCCAUAGCACGUUUAUUCGUAGUAGUAAAAAACUGGUAACCUAAAUGUCCAUCAGCAGUUGAGUGGCUAAAUUGUGGUGUAUCAUACAGUGGAUUUCUACAGAGAAAUAGGAAGUUACGGAUAAACGCAACAGCCUGAACGAAUAGCAGCUACUGUUAACUUAGGCACAAAGAAGAGGACGCUGUAUGAUUCCAUUUUGAUGAGGUUCAAAAUAUAACUGCACAGCAAGUUGUUCUCCAGUAUGAAUCAGGAAUCGUACCAGCCUGGGGAACAUGGCGAGAUCCCAUCUUUGCGCGUCGGGGUGCGUUCCUGUGACCGCCUUCCUGUGAUCGUUCCUGUGAUGGGUACUUGGGAGACUGGGGUGGGAGGAUCACUUGAGCCCAGGAGUUGGAGGGCGCAGUGAGCCAAGAUCGUGCCAGUGCACUUAAGUCUUGGAAGCAGAGUAAGACCCUGUCUCAAAGAAGUCUUACUUUUGACUCCAUAAUCCCCUUCCAAAAAUCUAUUCUAAGGAUAGCCUCAGAGAUGUGAGUAAGAUUUGUGUACUAAUCUUUGAGGUAUUAAUGAUAGCAAAAAAAAAAGGAAACAGUAGCAGACAGUGAUUAAAUAAUGGCACAUCCAUACGUAGACUAUCAUGCAGACAUUACACAGUAUCUAAAGUUUUUAUGAUAACAUCAGAAAUGUUUAUAAACUUCUAUAUUUUUUCUUUUUUUAGAGACAAGGUCUCUCACCCAGGGUGAUCAUAACUCACUGCAGCCUCAACCUCCCGGGCUCAAGUGAUCCUCUCACCUCAGCCUCCCUAGUAGCUCAGACUAAUGACCUGUACCAGGACACCCAUACCCAGCUAAUUUUAGUAGAGACUGUCAGGCCUCAGAGCCCAAGCUAAGCCAUCAUAUCCCCAGUGACUUGCACGUAUACAUCCAGAUGGCCUGAAGCAACUGAAGAUCCACAAAAGUGAAAAUAGCCUUAACUGAUGACAUUCCACCAUUGUAAUUUGUUUCUGCCCCACCCUAACUGAUCAAUGUACUUUGUAAUUUCCCCGACCCUUAAGAAGGUUCUUUAUAAUUCUCCCACCCUUGAGAAUGUACUUUGUGAGAUCCACCCCCUGCCCACAAAACAUUGCUCCAAACUCCAAUGCCUAUCCCAAAACCUGUAAGAACUAAUGAUAAUCCCACCACCCUUUGCUGACUCUCUUUUCGGACUCAGCCCACCUGCACCCAGGUGAAAUAAACAGCCUUGUUGCUCACACAAAGCCUGUUUGGUGGUCUCUUCACACGGACACGUGAGACAGAGACAAGAUCUGAUUAUGUUGCCCAGGGCGGUCUCAAACUCCUGGGUUCAAGCAAUCCUCCUGCCUCAGCCUCCCAAAGUGCUGGGAUUACAGGCCAUGCGCCACCACGCCCAGCCCCUAUAAUCUUAUUUUGAUAUGUGUCUAGAAAUAUGUAAGGAGGCCAGACAAUUCCAGUUCUGUGUGAUGAGCUUAGGUUAGGAUGGAAGGAAGCCAUGGACACCCUGAGUGCAAGGCAGGAAAGCCAGGAUAGAAGGCAGGAUUCUCAAGGGCUGAAGGUAGGGAAUGGGGUCAGGAAGGUAACGCUAAGAAGUCCGCUCAUCAAUUGGGUUUAGAAGUUAGGCAGAAAAGACAAGCAAGUGGUCAGUUCCUAGAAAUUAUACUGGGAGUGGUAGAGGAGGCAUUCAGGCAGUGUCCUGAU
RNAcentral lists this long non-coding RNA (2248 nucleotides) under Homo sapiens (human). RNAcentral describes it as "non-protein coding lnc-SFT2D3-1:4". The record is from RNAcentral. Lineage: Eukaryota; Metazoa; Chordata; Mammalia; Primates; Hominidae.